AUGAGAGGUAAACUGUACAUUCAGUUCACUGUUGACUUCCCUGACUCGUUGACCCCGGACCAGUGCAAGGCACUAGAGGCUGUGCUUCCUCCCAAGGCAUCGGUUCAGCUGACUGACAUGGAGCUGGAUGAGUGCGAGGAAACAACCCUGCAUGAUGUUAACAUUGAGGAAGUGAUGCGUAGGAAACAGACUCAAGCUCAACAAGAAGCUUAUGAUGAAGAUGAGGACAUGCAUGGUGGUGCGCAGAGAGUACAAUGCGCUCAGCAAUGAUAAAAAAAAGCCGAAUGUCCGAGACACAGACGGUGGUUUUUGGCGAUGGAAUGUACUGUGGUUAAAAAAAAAAAGAAAGAACAUUUGAGAGUAAGAUUCUCAAAACAUUGUUGUGUUUUGGUAGUCCUUUAUUUUUUGUUUUUAAUAGUGCAAGUAUUUUAGUAAUUGAAAUGGUGUUAUAUGCUUUGAAACCUGAUGCUUUCUAAGUAUGCAAAGAUUUAUGCACAACUUUUUAUUGUUCUUUGUUCAUUUAGGAUUCUUCUCCCAAUACGUAUUGGGUUUGGUUUAGUUUUUGGACAAAAAUUGAGAAAAACCUUAUGAAAUAAAAGAUCCAAAUAAUGGAGUUUUAGUAAAUUUGGGUUUUGUAGGGAAAAAAAAAACAAAUAUCAUUUUGUUUCGGGUUUAAAAAGAUAUAAUUUUUAUUUUUUUAUAAUAAUUAUAAUACCUGCUUUAGAUUUUUUUAUACAUUUAUAAAGUAAAUUAAAUAAUUAAAUUAAAUUAUUAAAUUGAUUAAUCAUUGGAAGUUGUUAAAAGUAAAACAAAUGCAUAAAUCAAUUAUAUAUCUAAUGUCUUGUUAUUUCAUUUAAUUUCAUUUAAUUAGUUUAAUUAAUUAUAUAAGGGUUAUAAUGUAAACGUGCCAUUAUACCAUAAGUGGAUGCUGAAAUUUGUCACUAUUGAUAUUAAAUCUUUAUAUUUUAAAAAUAUAAAUAAAUUUACCACUCAAUUUUUAUGAAAUUAGUCAUUAGAUUUUAAAUUUUAAUUAAUUUUCACUAAUUUUAAUUUUUUAAAUAAAAUUUUACGGGUAAAUUUCCAAUAAAAGUUCUUUUUUUUUUUAAUUUACCGAAAUUGGUCAGGUCAGAAAUUAUUUACCAGGAUGGGCCAGUUUUUACAAAACGCGUUCACGUCAGCGCGUUGUCAGGGGAAAAAGUAGGAAAACGCUUCCUCAAGGAAGCGCUUUGUUUACGUGGACAGAAAACACUUCCUUGAAGGCGCGCUUUCUGUCCACGUAGGCUAAGCGCUUCCUUAAGGAAGCGCUUUCCCCGUGUUUUUAUUAAAGUUUUCUGCAAUUAGGGUUAGGGUUUUGGGAAAUUUAGGUUUUUAAAUUUUAAGGUUUUAAAGAAAAAAAUUAAAUAAAUUAGGGUUUAGUGUUUGUUAAUUAAAUUAAUUACUAAUUUUAAAAAAUUAGAUUAUAGUUUAGUGUUUAUGGUUUUUAAGAAAAAAAUUAAAUAAAUUAGAGUUUAGGGUUACUUGAGUAAAUUAAUUAUAAAUUUUAAAAAAAUUAGAUUAGGAUUUUAGGGUUUAGGGUUUUUAAGAAAAAAAAUCAAAUAAAUUAGAAUUUGGGGUUUAGGGUAACUUAAUUAAAUUAUUUGUUAAUCUAAAAAAGCUUCUACGUGGACGCUCUUUUGCUACAGUAGUCUCUGAAAAAUAAAUUUGAGAAGACGUGUCUGCGCAAAUAGUGUCAAAAAUGCUUCAAGCAUGAUGCAUUGUCAGCAAAAGUACUGAAAGAAGCUCCCACGUGGACGCUCUUUUGCUACAGUAGUAUCUGAAAAAUAAUUUUGAGAAGACGUGUUUGUUUAAAUAGUGUAAAAAACGCUUCAAGUAGGAUGUAUUGUCAGCAAAAGUACUGAAAGAAGCUUCCACGUGGACGCUCUUUUGCUACAGUAGUCUUUGAAAAAAUAAUUUUGAGAAGACAUGUCUGCGCAAAUAGUGGUAAAAACGCUUCAAGCAGGAUGCAUUUUCAGUAAAAUUAUUGGAAGAAGCUCCCACGUGGAUGCUCUUUUGCUACAAUGGUCUCUGAAAAAAUAAUUUUGAGAAGACGUGUCUGCAUAAAUAGUGUCAAAAACGCUUCAAGCAGGAUGCAUUUUCAGCAAAAGUACUGAAAGAAGCUCCCACGUGGACGCUCUUUUGCUACAGUGGUUUCUGAAAUAACUUGGGCUAUAAAUGAGCCAAAUUUUGUUCUCAGGUUGCAUAACUUACAGCAAAAAAAAAAAAAAUAGAGAGGCUAAGAAAGAUAAAAAUUAAAGAUGAGUGAACGCAUUAGUGCUGUUAUUUACUAUGAUGGUGAGGUUCGUCACACCAAGAACGGUGUUGUUUUUUUUCGGAGAAUACAAUACGACUGGUUUUUAACCAGAACAUAGAUUUGACAGAACUUCGUAAAUGGAUUAGGCGUAAAAUAUUCGAAACGACGUCAAUAAAAGUGUUGUCUAUUAGGUAUCGAUUUUGUGCUUCUAUUGAUCCAGUACCAUAUGACUCGUUCGACAUCAAAGGUGCUCGUAGCUUGGAGGCAAUGGUGCAGACUCAUCUUGCUAGUGGAGCACUAUAUAUUGAGUUAUAUGUACAAUUUGCUCGCCAAAUGAUACAUUUGCGGCUGCUAUUCGAGAGGAAUACACGGCCCCUGCCCGACACUCCGUUAGUGGGUUACAUAACACGGAACCGCUGGUUUUUGGUAGCGGUAUGGAAUACACAACCCCUGCACGACACUCUGUUAGUGGAUGGGACAUGCACCUAGGUGGGUCGAUGUUUGAUGCUGGAAAUACAUACUGGGGAACGACAUCAACUUAUAGUGCUUGGCAAUCUACAUCCAAUUGGGGACGUUAUGAAACGCCCAGAAGAAGGGAUGAUGUACUCCCCAUGACGUCCACUGGUGAGGGGACCUCAUACGUCACAGAUGAUUGUGGGUUAGAUGAUGAGUCCGAUGUGGAUCCACCUCGAGAGCCCAGCCGCGAUGGUACAGAAGUUGGAUUAUUUUUUGAACCGGAGCCUAUUCCAACUGAACCUGAAGAUGUUGAAAGGGGUUCAGAUGAAGAAGAAGAUCCACGAUUCAGGGCAUACUCGUCUCCAGCCCACAUGCAUAAUGUUGAUCUAUCUGCAGAUGAUGCAUUGGAGUUUCCAGAUCUACCACACAGAACGCGUGAUCAUACAAGUUCGUUAUUGGAUUCGAGUGAAUUUGAAGUUGGUAAGGAGUUUUCCAAUAAGGAUAGUUUUCUUGGUGCAUUGAAACAACAUAGCAUCAAUAACGGUGUUAACUACCACGUGGUUAAAUCUAAAUCCGAUAAGUUUGAGGCGAAGUGUGUAGUGUAAGACGGAAGUUGUUCAUGGAAAAUCUACGCCUCGUUGAGGAAAAUGAUAGGGUUGUGGGAGAUAAAAAAGUAUAAAGGUCCACAUACAUGUGCUGCAAGUACAGUAUUUAAGGUUUUUGAAUAAUACUGUUAUUAUGUAAUGUUACAUUAUUUAACGUACUUCGUUGACAGGUAUUUUACAAGAUCAUCCCAAGAUGGAUUCAAUUAUGUUAGCUAGCUUAAUACUACCCACGGUGAAGGCAGAUCCUAGGACUUCAGUGCCAGUCUUAAUUGCCAAUAUUCGUAACCAAAUGGGGUACACGUCCUCUUACCGCAAGGCUUGGAUAGCUAAGCAGAAGGCUUUUGAGAAGAUGUAUAGUGGGUGGGACGCUUCAUAUAAUGAAAUAUAGCAGUGGUGUCAAGUGCUAGAGAGAUAUGUUCCAGGUUGCAUAACAGACCUUCAAACAGAACCUGCAUACUACAACGACCGAUUGCUCCGUGGAUGCCAAGUAUUUAAGCGUCUCUUCUAGAGCUUUAAGCAAUGCCGAGGCGCAUUUGCAUAUUGUAAGCCAUUGGUACAAAUUGACGGUACCUUUAUGUACGGUAGAUAUACCCAUCGGCUAUUGCUAGCAGUCGCACAAGAUGGUAGUGGAAGAAUCCUUCCAAUUGCGUUUGCAAUAACACCGGGGGAGUCAGUUGAUGACUGGAAUUUCUUUCUUUUUAGGUUAAUGAUGCAUGUUUGCCCCCAACCUGAUAUAUGCGUUAUAUCGGAUCGAGGCACCGGGAUACUAGCUACAAUUGAACGACAGGGAAGCCUAUGGCAUCGCACACACCAUCGGUAUUGCCUAAGGCACAUUGCUUCCAACUACUACAGACAAUAUCCAUCUAAAGCUGAACGACGGCAAGUGGCCAACAUGGGUAUUUAACUUUAUCUCUAUUAAUAUAAUUUCGUUUGGAAUAUUGAAUUUAUUUUAAAUGGAAAAGUGGUAUGUAAUUUUCGCUAUCAACUUUUAUUGGCAGGGUAUGAGAUAAGUAAGGACCGUUUUCAUGAGAUGUUGGCAGUUUUCCAUUCAUUUAACGAAGAGUGUAACGUCCCCUAACCCUAUACCGUCGCCAGAACAGGGAUACGAGACAUUACCAGUCAGUACAGUCUAAUUUCAGUCAUUAAUUAAAAUAAAUAUUCACACUCAUCCUAGUUUUAAGAUGUCGUCCCUUUAAUGGGCCCUCGCGGUCCAAUAUGGACAGUAAAUUCAAUUUGGAACUAAUUUAGAAUCAAUACGAUUUUUUUUUUAUAUUUCAAAAUUCAUACUAUAUACCGUUGCCAACCAUAAUUUACUUAUUUCAUCAAUACUUUUACAACUUAAAUGACUCUCAUUAAACAUCCUAGGUACAUGCCAUUAUCAAUACUCAACAUACUUUACCUCAUUGAAUUCGGGAUCGGCCUAGAAUGCUGAUUCAACAGUCUAGCCUUAACUUAACCUACGCAUGGAAACAAACUGUACGCUGAGUAUACACUCAGUGGUAUUUCUAUAAUCUGAACACUUAAAAACAAUUAUAAAACAUAUUAAUUUAUAUAUAUUGAACUAUUCAAACUCAAUGAGAAUUCAAACAUUCAUUUUCCAACCAAUGUUUUGGUCUACUUUAAAUUUCAAAUCAUUUAUUAUUUUUCAAUAGCAAUUAAUCAAUCAGUAAUGUUCAUUAACACUCAGAAUAAUUAUUUAUUUAGUAACAGUCAGUUAUUUAGUAAUAAUCAAUUAUUCAAUAAUAACCAGUUAUUCAGUAUCGAUUAAUUGAUCAGUUAUCCAGUAACAGUCAAUUAUUCAGUAAAAUCAGAUAUUCAGUAACUAUUAAGUUAUUCAAUAGCAGUCAUUCAUUCAGUGACAAUCAGUUAUUCAGUAAUAAUCAAUUAUUCAGUAAUAUUCAGUUAUUCAGUAACAGUCUAAUAUCCAGUAACAGUCAAUUAUCCGAUAACAGUCAAUUAUUCAGUAAUAAUCAGUUAUUUUAUACCUUUAUUUACCCCUAUUAACAUGACUCGGACUCAGACGGAUACACGGAUUCAACCAACACACCAGUACGGCACAUAGUGCCUCAUCGGCCGAAGCCGGAAUAGGAAGAGGAACAGUAACAGUAACAGUAGCAGUACGGUACACAGAGUGCCUCAUCGGAACAAAUCCAGAAUAGUAACAGUAACAGUAACAAUAUUUGACACACACAGUGCCGAAUCGGUAAUGGUAACAGUAACAAUAUUCGACACACAAAGUGCCGAAUCGGUAACAGUAGCAGUAGCGGUAACAGUAACUAGCACAUAAGUACCUAAAAUACGGCACAUAAAGUGCCCGAUCGGUAAAGUCGAUAAAUCCCGUACUCUUCCAAUCCUAUGGCAUGCCAAUUAUAUCCGACUAGCCCGACAAGUUAAUAGGAAAUUUAAUUCUUAUUCCAAUUUUACUUAAUAUUCAUAUUUACCCCUAUUAACAAGACUCGGACUUUGGCGGAUAUACGGAUUCCAACCAAACACACCAGUAUGGCACUCAGUGCCUGAACACUUCCAAAUCCUAUGGCAUGCCAACUAUAUCCGACUCAGUCCGACUAGUUAAUAGGGUAUUCAAAUCAUUUUUCUAUUUCAAAUUCGCUUUCAAUUCAAUCACAAUUUCUCAUAUUUCAAUAUCCAACCAAUACACAUUUCAAUUAAUCAUAAUUCCAUUCCAUUCAAUUCAAUUCAAUUCAAUUCAAAUUCACCCUUCAAUUUCAAUUAAUAUUCAUUUUAUUUCAAAUAAUUUAAUCAAUGCACCUACCAUACAUAAUAAAUAAUAAAUUCAAUAAUUAAAAAUUAAGUUCGGGUUAUAGAAAUACAAACCGUAAUUUUCGAGCUAACUCCCGUUGAC
Molecule: long non-coding RNA, 6211 nt
Filed under: Gossypium barbadense (sea-island cotton)
Lineage: Eukaryota; Viridiplantae; Streptophyta; Magnoliopsida; Malvales; Malvaceae
Description: long non-coding RNA (GBAR_LNC005740)
Rfam family: MIR7486 microRNA precursor family (bases 1213-1299)
Source: RNAcentral